This 252-nucleotide ribosomal RNA is filed under the name uncultured bacterium. Its description in RNAcentral is "partial 16S ribosomal RNA". It matches the Rfam family "Bacterial small subunit ribosomal RNA", at positions 524 to 776 of the family's 1533-position model. The record is from RNAcentral.
UACGGAGGAUGCGAGCGUUAUCCGGAUUUAUUGGGUUAAAAGGGUGCGCAGGCGGCACGGCAAGCCGGCGGUCAAAUCGCGGGGCUCAACCCCGCCCAGCCGUCGGAACUGCCGGGCUAGAGUGGGCGAGAAGUGCGCGGAAUGCGUGGUGUAGCGGUGAAAUGCAUAGAUAUCACGCAGAACUCCGAUUGCGAAGGCAGCGCACCGGCGCCCUACUGACGCUCAGGCACGAAAGCGUGGGUAUCGAACAGG